GACGAACGCUGGCGGCGUGCUUAACACAUGCAAGUCGAGCGGAAAGGCCCUUUCGGGGGUACUCGAGCGGCGAACGGGUGAGUAACACGUGAGUAAUCUGCCCUUGGCUUUGGGAUAACUACCGGAAACGGUGGCUAAUACCGGGUAUGACCAUGCUCGGCAUCGGGUGUGGUGGAAAGUUUUUUCGGCCAGGGAUGUGCUCGCGGCCUAUCAGCUUGUUGGUGGGUAAUGGCCUACCAAGGCUUCGACGGGUAGCCGGCCUGAGAGGGUGACCGGCCACACUGGGACUGAGACACGGCCCAGACUCCUACGGGAGGCAGCAGUGGGGAAUAUUGGACAAUGGGCGGAAGCCUGAUCCAGCAACGCCGCGUGAGGGAUGACGGCCU
This 386-nucleotide ribosomal RNA is filed under the name uncultured bacterium. RNAcentral's name for it is "bacterial SSU rRNA". It matches the Rfam family "Bacterial small subunit ribosomal RNA", at positions 28 to 417 of the family's 1533-position model. The record is from RNAcentral.